GCUCUCCGUACCAGAAACUGGAGGAAUCGAGUUUUCAUGUAAGAUGAAAAGUCAGCACAGCAUCCAUCCUGGGUGCUUCAAAGCUUUGAUUUGCACGCUAAAUGUUGUAUGUGUGUUACUACAAAAAUAUAGCCCACAAGACUAAAAGAGAAAAAUAACUGGGAUACAGAAAGGCCAGAAUGUAUGUUUCACAAAAAGAUGGAAAAAUAAAUAAGUCAUGGCUGAUCCACGUUAGGGUUGCCAUUGUCUGCCUAGGGGUCACGCCUUCCCAUCACAGGGCACAAACAUCAUAGAUGUCUUCUGCAGGACUAUGCCUUUUCUCAGCCACCUCCCCACCACCACCACCUGAGACAAACCUUGGGAAGUAGCAUCUGUCUUCCAACUGGCUCCUCCCUGCCCACUGUAGCCUCCCCUGAAUCCUUAACCUUUAUAUGGGCUCCUUACAGCGUACUCAGAUCCUGUGUUCUCCAAGCCAAAUCCAAAAGGUGCUUCUUUUUGAA
This 500-nucleotide long non-coding RNA is filed under the name Bos taurus (domestic cattle). Its description in RNAcentral is "long non-coding RNA NONBTAT015456". The record is from RNAcentral. Lineage: Eukaryota; Metazoa; Chordata; Mammalia; Artiodactyla; Bovidae.